GGUCCGAUGGUGUAGUUGGCUAUCACGUCAGUCUAACACGCUGAAGGUCUCCAGUUGGAGCCUGGAUCAGAUCA
Molecule: non-coding RNA, 74 nt
Organism: Podospora anserina S mat+
Lineage: Eukaryota; Fungi; Ascomycota; Sordariomycetes; Sordariales; Podosporaceae
Source: the annotation of a RefSeq genome assembly